Molecule: unclassified non-coding RNA, 328 nt
Filed under: soil metagenome
Description: partial contains 5.8S ribosomal RNA, internal transcribed spacer 2, and large subunit ribosomal RNA
Rfam family: 5.8S ribosomal RNA (bases 1-120)
Source: RNAcentral
GAUGAAGAACGUAGCGAAAUGCGAUAAGUAAUGUGAAUUGCAGAAUUCAGUGAAUCAUCGAAUCUUUGAACGCACAUUGCGCCCCUUGGUAUUCCGAGGGGCAUGCCUGUUCGAGCGUCAUUAUAACCCCUCAAGCUCAGCUUGGUGUUGGGGCCUGCCGCACGGGCAGCCCUUAAAAUCAGUGGCGGUGCCAUCUGGCUCUAAGCGUAGUAAUUCUUCUCGCUAUAGAGUCUCGGUGGAUGCUUGCCAUUAACCCCCAAUUUUCUAUGGUUGACCUCGGAUCAGGUAGGGAUACCCGCUGAACUUAAGCAUAUCAAUAAGCGGAGGA